RNAcentral lists this ribosomal RNA (498 nucleotides) under uncultured bacterium. RNAcentral describes it as "partial 16S ribosomal RNA". It matches the Rfam family "Bacterial small subunit ribosomal RNA", at positions 30 to 523 of the family's 1533-position model. The record is from RNAcentral.
AUUGAACGCUGGCGGCAUGCCUUACACAUGCAAGUCGAACGGUAACAGGUCUUCGGAUGCUGACGAGUGGCGAACGGGUGAGUAAUACAUCGGAACGUGCCUAGUAGUGGGGGAUAACUACUCGAAAGAGUGGCUAAUACCGCAUGAGAUCUACGGAUGAAAGCAGGGGAUCGCAAGACCUUGUGCUACUAGAGCGGCCGAUGGCAGAUUAGGUAGUUGGUGGGAUAAAAGCUUACCAAGCCGACGAUCUGUAGCUGGUCUGAGAGGACGAUCAGCCACACUGGGACUGAGAAACGGCCCAGACUCCUACGGGAGGCCGCAGUGGGGAAUUUUGGACAAUGGGCGCAAGCCUGAUCCAGCAAUGCCGCGUGCAGGAUGAAGGCCUUCGGGUUGUAAUCUGCUUUUGUACGGAACGAAAAGCCCCGGGUUAAUACCCUGGGGUCAUGACGGUACCGUAAGAAUAAGCACCGGCUAACUACGUGCCAGCCGCCGCGGUAA